RNAcentral lists this long non-coding RNA (1607 nucleotides) under Olea europaea (common olive). RNAcentral describes it as "long non-coding RNA (OEUR_LNC007490)". Lineage: Eukaryota; Viridiplantae; Streptophyta; Magnoliopsida; Lamiales; Oleaceae. The record is from RNAcentral.
GCCAACAUGACAUUAAUAUAAUUUUAUUAAUCCAUACCAAAUAGACAAAACACAUUAUUGUAAUAAAUCGAAGAAAAAUUUUCAUUUACAUAUUGCCCAUUAAAUCAACAUCAUUUUACACUCCUCUUAAACAAUAAAAAAUUAUUGUAUAAAAGAAGAUAAUUUACAACUUGUUGUCUUCAAACUAUUGGGUUGGCUAAAUCUCAAAAAUCAUUCCCAGUACUUUCUUCGUAGCCUGCAUAUUUCUUCUAGGAAAGAGCCUCCCACCUUGAAGAUACUUGGUGCUUCGACAAAACAGCAUUUGGAGUCUGUAUUUCUUCAAUCCAUAGUGAAAGAGGUAUCACCUGAAAUGUUUAGGAGAAGUUCAUUUAUAUCAUAACACCGUAAUCAACAACCAGAAGAUUGCACUAUAGUCCAGGCUACCAUAAGAGCAUGAACAGACAAAAAAAUCUCUUGUCAUCUCUAGAACUUAUGUUAAAUGCCUUCUGACCUAGAUGGAACUUCGGUAAAUUUUACCAAGAGAUUAUGUGUGUGGUGUCAAUAAAUAUAUGCUAGAAUCAAGUAGGAAUGACAGGGACUAAACUGCGCACUUUCAAUUAUCUAUAUAACUCAUAUCAAACGUUAUCAUAUAUCACGUCUCAAGAGUGUGUUCUUUAGAGUCCAAUUAUUGGAGAUACUUUGUCUGUGUAGAUAGAGUACACUAUUGACAAAAGUCGUUGCCAUCAUUUUAAUUCAUGUACGUAGGAAAUGCACGAAAUCAUAUUGACAACAACUAGGAGAGGUUCCCUAUUGCAACUACUUCUCCUCUUUAAGGGCCUUAUCAAUAAAUCUAGAUAGACAAUUUAACCCAUAGAUAGAGGUUCCUUCUUUGUUUUUGGUUGAACCAACACUAGAUAAAUUACGAAAUGAAUUACAAAAAGUAACCCAUAACAGCAAAGUAUAUACUAGAAUAAAAGGCAGUACAAAUGCACUCUUGAGCUUUAAAGAGGCAUCUCUCGCCAAAACAACUUAUAAUAUUUUGAAUGACUAACAGAUCCCCACCCCUUUUAUUGGCCCUAACAGCUUAUUUUCAGAAAUCCCUAAUAUUAUGCCCCCACUAAUUUAAACAGCUCCCUCACUUAACAGGCUCCAUCUCACGAAACCCCAUGUUUCUUUCCUAUUAAAUACAAUUUUAUUUUGCAGAGAAUAAGAAUGGAUAAAGUCCACUAUGUUCAGAAGCAUAGCCAGAUGGCUGGUAUUGAUCAUUAUUCAUUCUUUUACAAGUCUAUGAAGGAACUUGUAGGCGAUGGAAACUUAAUUAGGUGAGCUCACUUAGUACAUCCUAAAUGCACUGCUCAUCAAGCUCACUUCCAUCUUUCAAUCACUAGUCAUUGCAAUCAGAACAUUUUGAAUAGAACUAUUCAAUAAGAUGCCUAGGAGCCCUAUCAUUAAAAGGGUUAGGCAAAAUCGCACAAUACAAUAUCGGUCAUACUGAUUGACUCUACAAAAUUAUGAGACUCGACAAGUAUAUUUAUAUAUCCAAAAAAAUUCCUACUGAAAAAAGGACUAGAAACUCAAACUCGGAAAGUUAAAGAUUUAUAAUCUUUAACUGCUAUAGAUUAUUCUCC